RNAcentral lists this ribosomal RNA (245 nucleotides) under uncultured bacterium. RNAcentral's name for it is "partial 16S ribosomal RNA". It matches the Rfam family "Bacterial small subunit ribosomal RNA", at positions 1256 to 1500 of the family's 1533-position model. The record is from RNAcentral.
CGUGAGGCGGAGCUAAUCCCUUAAAGCCAUUCUCAGUUCGGAUUGUAGGCUGAAACUCGCCUACAUGAAGCUGGAGUUACUAGUAAUCGCGGAUCAGAAUGCCGCGGUGAAUACGUUCCCGGGUCUUGUACACACCGCCCGUCACACCAUGGGAGUCGGAAAUGCCCGAAGUCUGUGACCCAACCUCAGGGAGGGAGCAGCCGAAGGCAGGUCGGAUGACUGGGGUGAAGUCGUAACAAGGUAAC